RNAcentral lists this ribosomal RNA (253 nucleotides) under uncultured prokaryote. Its description in RNAcentral is "partial 16S ribosomal RNA". It matches the Rfam family "Bacterial small subunit ribosomal RNA", at positions 525 to 777 of the family's 1533-position model. The record is from RNAcentral.
ACGAAGGGGGCGGGCGUUGUUCGGAUUUACUGGGCGUAAAGGGCGCGCAGGCGGUUCUGUUUGUCGAGUGUGAAAGCCCCGGGCUCAACCUGGGAACUGCGCUCGAAACGGCGGAACUAGAGUUCGGGAGAGGAGAGUGGAAUUCCCAGUGUAGAGGUGAAAUUCGUAGAUAUUGGGAAGAACACCGGUGGCGAAGGCGGCUCUCUGGACCGAUACUGACGCUGAGGCGCGAAAGCGUGGGGAGCAAACAGGA